This 284-nucleotide long non-coding RNA is filed under the name Vigna radiata. Its description in RNAcentral is "long non-coding RNA (VRAD_LNC015967)". The record is from RNAcentral. Lineage: Eukaryota; Viridiplantae; Streptophyta; Magnoliopsida; Fabales; Fabaceae.
GCUAGCAUUGUCUUGUCCAUCAGGUGAAGUCUCGGCUGGGGGAGAAUCUUGCUAUUUUAUUUUAUUUAGUAGAAGUGUUGUCCCAUCAAGGUAGGUAGGCUAGAAGCACAUGGAUGACUUGUUUAAGGAAAGAAAGAGGUUGGAAAGAGAGCACAUGAUUGUCCUUUAUGAUGGUUGGAAGCAAUGUUAAUUUUCUUGGAGAAGUUGAAUGUCCACGUUGGUGAAGGGAUGUCUCGGCUGGAUGAGGAAAACAUUUCCCAUUUUCAUUUUUCUUUGAAUUCAAC